AUUGAACGCUGGCGGCAUGCCUUACACAUGCAAGUCGAACGGCAGCACGGGUGCUUGCACCUGGUGGCGAGUGGCGAACGGGUGAGUAAUACAUCGGAACAUGUCCUGUAGUGGGGGAUAGCCCGGCGAAAGCCGGAUUAAUACCGCAUGCGAUCUACGGAUGAAAGCGGGGGACCUUCGGGCCUCGCGCUAUAGGGUUGGCCGAUGGCUGAUUAGCUAGUUGGUGGGGUAAAGGCCUACCAAGGCGACGAUCAGUAGCUGGUCUGAGAGGACGACCAGCCACACUGGGACUGAGACACGGCCCAGACUCCUACGGGAGGCAGCAGUGGGGAAUUUUGGACAAUGGGCGAAAGCCUGAUCCAGCAAUGCCGCGUGUGUGAAGAAGGCCUUCGGGUUGUAAAGCACUUUUGUCCGGAAAGAAAUCCUUGGCCCUAAUACGGUCGGGGGAUGACGGUACCGGAAGAAUAAGCACCGGCUAACUACGUG
RNAcentral lists this ribosomal RNA (486 nucleotides) under uncultured bacterium. Its description in RNAcentral is "partial 16S ribosomal RNA". It matches the Rfam family "Bacterial small subunit ribosomal RNA", at positions 30 to 507 of the family's 1533-position model. The record is from RNAcentral.